AUGGGGACAGAACAUAAGUAUGGAAGUGACUGAAUUCACGCUGGCGAGAAAAGCUGCUAUCGAGCAGAAGGGUACCCGUACCGCAAACCGACACAGGUAGGCGAGGAGAGAAUCCUAAGAUGAGCGAGAUAACCCUUGUUAAGGAACUCGGCAAAAUGACUCCGUAACUUCGGGAGAAGGAGUGCCACGAAAGUGGUUGCAGUGAAGAGGCCCAUGCGACUGUUUAUCAAAAACACAGGUCUGUGCUAAAUCGAGAGAUGAUGUAUACGGGCUGACGCCUGCCCAGUGCUGGAAGGUUAAGGGGAACUGUUAGCGCAAGCGAAGCAGUGAACCGAAGCCCCAGUGAACGGCGGCCGUAACUAUAACGGUCCUAAGGUAGCGAAAUUCCUUGUCGGGUAAGUUCCGACCCGCACGAAUGGCGUAACGAUAUGGGCGCUGUCUCAACAAGGGACUCGGUGAAAUUGUAGGGCUGGUAAAGAUGCCAGCGACCCGCGACUAGACGGAAAGACCCCGUAGAGCUUUACUGUAGCUUGGUAUUGAGUUUUGACAUUAGAUGUACAGGAUAGGUGGGAGACUGAGAAGUGAUGGCGUCAGCUGUCAUGGAGUCGCCGGUGGGAUACCACUCUUCUGAUGUUGGAAUUCUAACAACGACCCGUGAACCGGGCGUUGGACAGUGCCAGGUGGGCAGUUUGACUGGGGCGGUCACCUCCGAAAGAGUAACGGAGGUGCCCAAAGGUCUCCUCAGCAUGGUCGGAAAUCAUGUGUUAGAGUGUAAAGGCAUAAGGAGGCCUGACUGCGAGACUGACAAGUCGAGCAGAGACGAAAGUCGGGCUUAGUGAUCCGGUGGUUUCGAGUGGAAGAGCCAUCGCUAAACGGAUAAAAGUUACCUCGGGGAUAACAGGCUAAUCUCCCCCAAGAGUCCACAUCGACGGGGAGGUUUGGCACCUCGAUGUCGGCUCAUCGCAUCCUGGGGCUGAAGUAGGUCCCAAGGGUAUGGCUGUUCGCCAUUUAAAGCGGUACGCGAGCUGGGUUCAGAACGUCGUGAGACAGUUCGGUCCCUAUCUAUCGUGGGCGUUAGAAGUUUGAGAGGAGCUGUCCCUAGUACGAGAGGACCGGGAUGGACAUACCGCUGGUGUACCAGUUGUUCCGCCAGGAGCACUGCUGGGUAGCUAUGUGUGGACGGGAUAAACGCUGAAAGCAUCUAAGCGUGAAGCCCCCCUCAAGAUUAGACUUCUCAUUCCUUAAAGGAAGUAAGACCCCUUGAAGACUACAAGGUUGAUAGGUCAGAGGUGUAAGUGCAGUAAUGCAUUUAGCUGACUGAUACUAAUAGGUCGAGGGCUUGAUCAA
RNAcentral lists this ribosomal RNA (1347 nucleotides) under human gut metagenome. Its description in RNAcentral is "bacterial LSU rRNA". It matches the Rfam family "Bacterial large subunit ribosomal RNA", at positions 1565 to 2925 of the family's 2925-position model. The record is from RNAcentral.